UACGUAGGAGGCAAGCGUUGUCCGGAAUUACUGGGCGUAAAGCGCGUGUAGGUGGUGGGACAAGUCUGCUGUGAAAGCGCCUGGCUUAACCGGGCGAGGUCGGCGGAAACUGCCCGACUCGAGGACGGUAGAGGGGGGUGGAAUUCCCGGUGUAGUGGUGAAAUGCGUAGAGAUCGGGAGGAACGCCUGUGGCGAAGGCGGCUUUCUGGGCCUUACCUGACGCUGAGACGCGAAAGCGUGGGGAGCGAACCGG
This 253-nucleotide ribosomal RNA is filed under the name uncultured bacterium. RNAcentral's name for it is "partial 16S ribosomal RNA". It matches the Rfam family "Bacterial small subunit ribosomal RNA", at positions 524 to 776 of the family's 1533-position model. The record is from RNAcentral.